AGGAUUCAGGACGAAGGCAGGAGUUUCGAAAGUGAUUAGACACCGCUGUAGUUCCUGCAGUAAACUAUGCCGACAGCUUGUGUGUGAGAAUACGGGGCGGGAGAAAUUUUAGUUUCGGGCUCUGGGGAUAGUACGCUUGCAGGGUGAAACUUAAAGGGAAAUUGACGGAAGGACACUACCAGGAGUGGAUUGUGCUGCUUAAUUUAACUCAACGCGGGAAAACUUACCAGGGUCAAGUCAUUCGUUGAUCGAAUACGUGAGAAUGGCAGGAGUGGUGCAUGGCCGUUGGAAAUUGAUGGGGCGACCUUUAGCUUAAAUGCUUAAACCAGUGAGACCUCCUUGACAGGUGUUCUGUAACACAGGAGGGUGGAGGCUAUAACAGGUCCGUGAUGCCCUUAGAUAUCCUGGGCAGCAAGCGCAAUACAAUAUCUCUUCAGUAGACAAAGUGAUUUGAGAUGAGUAGGAUCUACGUUUGUAAAUACGUAGUGAAUAAGGAAUUCCUAGUAACGGUGCCUCAUCAAGGCAUGGUGAAUGUGUCCCUGUUCUUUGUACACACCGCCCGUCACUAUUUCAGAUGGUCAUAGGGAUGAAGAGCUUCGGCUCUGAAUAUCUAUGGCUAGAUAAAGUACAAGUCGUAACAAGGUUUCAGUUGGAGAACCAGCUGAAGGAUCAUUU
Molecule: non-coding RNA, 675 nt
Filed under: Enterocytozoon bieneusi H348
Lineage: Eukaryota; Fungi; Microsporidia; Enterocytozoonidae
Description: Microsporidia small subunit ribosomal RNA
Rfam family: Microsporidia small subunit ribosomal RNA
Source: Rfam by way of RNAcentral